GGCUGCAGAAUUUAUAACUGUACAAAGGUAGCAUAAUAAUUUGUUUUUUAAUUAAAAACUAGUAUGAAUGAUUAAAUGAAAUAUAAACUGUUUCAAAUAAAAUAAUAUUAAAAUUUUUAUUUAAGUUAAAAAACUUAAAUAUAUUUAAAAGACGACAAGACCCUAUAGAAUUUAAUUUAUAUUUUAAAUAAAAAUUUUUAUUAACUUUAUCUAAUUUUAUAUAUAAAUUUAAUUGGGGUAAUUUAAAAAUUAAAAAAAUUUUUUUUAUAUAUAACAUUAAUUUAUGAAUAUUUAAUCUUAAAAUUUAAAUUAUUAAAAUUAAUUACCUUAGGGAUAACAGCAUAAUUUUUUUUAAAAGAUCUUAUU
This 366-nucleotide ribosomal RNA is filed under the name Chorebus leptogaster. Its description in RNAcentral is "partial large subunit ribosomal RNA". The record is from RNAcentral. Lineage: Eukaryota; Metazoa; Arthropoda; Insecta; Hymenoptera; Braconidae.